This 406-nucleotide ribosomal RNA is filed under the name uncultured bacterium. Its description in RNAcentral is "partial 16S ribosomal RNA". It matches the Rfam family "Bacterial small subunit ribosomal RNA", at positions 30 to 526 of the family's 1533-position model. The record is from RNAcentral.
AUUGAACGCUGGCGGCAGGCCUAACACAUGCAAGUCGAACGAAUGGCGGACGGGUGAGUAGUGUCUGGGAAACUGCCUGAUGUAGGGGGAUAACUACUGGAACCGGUAGCUACUACCGCAUACCAUCGGAUGUGCCCAGAUGGGAUUAGCUAGUAGGGGGGGUAAAGGCUGACCAAGGCGACGAUCCAUAGCUGGUCUGAGAGGAUGACCAGCCACACUGGGACUGAGACACGGCCCAGACUCCUACGGGAGGCAGCAGUGGGGAAUCUUCGACAAUGGGCGAAAGCCUGAUGCAGCAACGCCGCGUGUAUGAAGAAGGUUUUCGGGUUGUAAAGUACUUUCAGCGGGGAGGCGUUAUCUACAGAGGAAGCACCGGCUAACUCCGUGCCAGCAGCCGCGGUAAUUC